UAUAUAUAUAUAUAUUUUUUUUUUUUUUUCCAUCCUCCAUGAAGUCAGGGCUCUUGAAAAGGGCUUCAGCCACGGCCGGAGCAGUCGCGGACAGUGAAUGGUUGACAUCUGCACCUGGUUCGAGCUGUGUCUUGCCAUCUGAAACGUCCCCCCUGUUUGGUGGUACCCAAGAGGACCUGCAUUCGCUUGAUGGCCAAAUUACAGUGGCGUGUGUGCAGAAGGAAAUACCUGAACAAAACAUGUUUCCAGCUGACGUCUUCCCUGGGUGUUUCACAUUCCAACAGAGCAAAUGGGGCUGGAUGGAGCCUGGAAGCAGCCGUGGCUGAUGGAGGGAUCCAGCCUGAGGUUCAUCUCCCAGAGCCAUGUAAGGAGCCGGGGACGGUGGCAACCAGUAUGACUCCAGUCUCAGAGUUAACCACAACUGCUCCAGCCUUCACUGAAAGCACAAAAAUAUACAUCCAGCCAUGGAAAAUGUUUCUUCUUUGCUUUGUCCUCGCAAAUCUCCCUCUGGCUGUUGGACACAGCAAGUCUGGCAGGGACAGGGCUGUGCUGAGUCUUGUUACGCUCAGCUGGUGUCCUGGCCACCGAGAACCUGAAGGCUUUGACAGGUGGAGACAGCUGGAAGAUCUCCAGAUCCAGAAUCCCAGUUCAAGCCCAUAUAUGGGUCCUGCCCCAGCAGCCUCCUUUGGCACUGUGUCUGUGAGCUGUAACCCACCUAACAAGUGCUCCCUUCAUGGUCCAGCUCUAGGAGAAAUCCUUGUCACCUCUUCUGAGACACAACAUCCCCGUGGGACACGGCAGAGGCAUGGAAAUCUGUUUUCCCACUUGUGUUGAGGGAUUUGCAGAGUAAAACGCAGAACAUUUGGUGUCUCCUGUUCACCUUGAUUCAUGAACACCCUCCGAAGCCCCAGUUCCACGUUUGAUUUUUACAAGGGCAUGUAGUGAUAGGACAAAGGGUUGGUGGCUUCACACUGGAAGAAGGUCGAUUCAGAUCAGAUAUCAGGAAGAAAUUUUUCUUGGUCUUGGUGCUGGGAAAGUCUCCUGUGUUUGAUUCAUUCGGUGGUCACCAUAGGGAAUUGAGGAGGCAAAUGGGAGGCACCUUACAAAGAAGCAGGUUUGGAUCUCACGUGGAGAGAAGGAUAAAAGGGUGGGUGCAGCAGCGAGAAGAGGCUGAAAGAGCAGUGCCUGAGAGCUGCUGGUGGUUCAUGUUUCCAGUCUACUCUUGCUACGUUGGUGGAAAGCUCUUAACCCAACCUCAUUACCUCAAAAGAAAGGCAAACUGAUGUGUGCAGCAUCCAUGCGUCUGGAAAAGUCAUCGAUGUGGUCACCAAGGUCAUAAAAUUGGGUCUGCUGGGUCAGCACCAUCUCUGGGCAUGCAGAGAGCUGAACCAAUGUGGGGGCUACUGGGGGCUACUCACUGGUCUGGAGCAAGAGUCUGAUGAGCGAUGAGCAGCGGGAGGUAGGUGGGUAUCAGAUGUUGGGUAUGGAUGAAGACACCACAGUGCAGUAAAUUUAAGUGUCUUCAGUGGUGGUGGAAGUAUCUGUAGAUCAUCAGGAUCUUACACAACUCAUAUGUCUUCCAAAAUGAAACACCAGAUGUUUUCUACAUGCCCAUGGUGGGAAGAAUUGCCUGCUAGAAAUGGGGCUCUGUUGACGGUGGAGAAGAUGCACAAACCCUCUCCAACAUUACAAGGACAAGGACAGCUUUGGGAGCUGUGGAGUUUUUGUCCCAGGGGUCACUCCAGGAGAUCAAAUUCAUUGUUCGUUUGGGACAAAUGAAGUGAGAAGGGGCAAUUUUCUAGCCAAAAGAGAAUUCCGCAGCAC
RNAcentral lists this long non-coding RNA (1824 nucleotides) under Calidris pugnax (ruff). RNAcentral describes it as "lncRNA (ENSCPUG00000001767.1)". Lineage: Eukaryota; Metazoa; Chordata; Aves; Charadriiformes; Scolopacidae. The record is from RNAcentral.